UACGGGGGGGGUAAGCGUUGUUCGGAUUCAUUGGGCGUAAAGGGUGCGUAGGCGGCGCGGUAAGUCGGGUGUGAAAUCUCGGAGCUUAACUCCGAAACUGCAUUCGAUACUGCCGUGCUUGAGGACUGGAGAGGAGACUGGAAUUUACGGUGUAGCGGUGAAAUGCGUAGAUAUCGUAAGGAAGACCAGUGGCGAAGGGGGGUCUCUGGACAGUUCCUGACGCUGAGGCACGAAGGCCAGGGGAGCAAACGGG
RNAcentral lists this ribosomal RNA (253 nucleotides) under uncultured bacterium. Its description in RNAcentral is "partial 16S ribosomal RNA". It matches the Rfam family "Bacterial small subunit ribosomal RNA", at positions 524 to 776 of the family's 1533-position model. The record is from RNAcentral.